UUGAACGCUGGCGGCAUGCUUUACACAUGCAAGUCGAACGGUAACAGGUUAAGCUGACGAGUGGCGAACGGGUGAGUAAUGCAUCGGAACGUGCCCGAUCGUGGGGGAUAACGCAGCGAAAGCUGCGCUAAUACCGCAUACGAUCUGAGGAUGAAAGCGGGGGACCGUAAGGCCUCGCGCGAUCGGAGCGGCCGAUGUCAGAUUAGGUAGUUGGUGGGGUAAAGGCUCACCAAGCCGACGAUCUGUAGCUGGUCUGAGAGGACGACCAGCCACACUGGGACUGAGACACGGCCCAGACUCCUACGGGAGGCAGCAGUGGGGAAUUUUGGACAAUGGGCGCAAGCCUGAUCCAGCAAUGCCGCGUGCAGGAAGAAGGCCUUCGGGUUGUAAAGCUCUUUUGUCAGGGAAGAAAAGGUAUCCUCUAAUACAGGGUGCUCAUGACGGUACCUGAAGAAUAAGCACCGGCUAACUACGU
This 475-nucleotide ribosomal RNA is filed under the name uncultured bacterium. RNAcentral's name for it is "bacterial SSU rRNA". It matches the Rfam family "Bacterial small subunit ribosomal RNA", at positions 30 to 506 of the family's 1533-position model. The record is from RNAcentral.